Molecule: long non-coding RNA, 210 nt
Filed under: Nicotiana benthamiana
Lineage: Eukaryota; Viridiplantae; Streptophyta; Magnoliopsida; Solanales; Solanaceae
Description: long non-coding RNA (NBEN_LNC017594)
Source: RNAcentral
AGCUUUUGAGUGGAACCAUGGAGGGGCCCGUUAGUGCACUAAGUUGAAAUUAAAGGUCUAGUCGAUGAACUUUAUUGUAUGGAGUGUGUUAUAAGAAAAAUAUGAUAGUUCAAAUAAUGUAGAAAAAUACACACCUCCAAUUCUUAUUGAUUUGUGCUACUGAAAAAUAGAGAAGUGCUUAAUUUGAAAGAGGGCUAUGUUGUAUAUGAC